UACGGGAGGCAGCAGGGGGAAUAUUGGACAAUGGGCGAAAGCCUGAUCCAGCCAUGCCGCAUGAGUGAAGAAGGCCUUCGGGUUGUAAAGCUCUUUUAGUGAGAAAGAUAAUGACGGUACUCACAGAAGAAGUCCUGGCUAACUCCGUGCCAGCAGCCGCGGUAAUACGGAGAGGGCUAGCGUUAUUCGGAAUUAUUGGGCGUAAAGAGCGCGUAGGCUGAUUAGUAAGUUAAAAGUGAAAUCCCAAAGCUUAACUUUGGAAUUGCUUUUUAAAACUGCUAGUCUAGAGAUUUGAAAGAGGAUAGAGGAAUUCCUAGUGUAGAGGUGAAAUUCGUAAAUAUUAGGAGGAACACCAGUGGCGAAGGCGUCUAUCUGGUUCAAAUCUGACGCUGAGGCGCGAAGGGCGUGGGGAGCGAAACAGGGAUUAGAUACCCGU
Molecule: ribosomal RNA, 436 nt
Filed under: uncultured bacterium
Lineage: Bacteria
Description: bacterial SSU rRNA
Rfam family: Bacterial small subunit ribosomal RNA
Source: RNAcentral